Molecule: long non-coding RNA, 834 nt
Organism: Platichthys flesus (European flounder)
Lineage: Eukaryota; Metazoa; Chordata; Actinopteri; Pleuronectiformes; Pleuronectidae
Exons: 4
Source: RefSeq, a predicted model, not a curated record
CCUACACCUGUAAAUCCAACAUGGAGCCGUAGGCCUGUUGGCGGCAGGACGGGGGUCGUCAGCCGGAACUAGGAGCUGUUAGCCGGCUAAUGAAAUGAAGCUUCACACGAUGAACCUCCAUUAAAUCUCCUUUAAGUCUUAUUUCAACUCGCUUCCACGUGUUGCGCUUACCUGGACCCGUCUAUCACCUGGCGCCGCUGAUGAGCUAGCUUGAUGAGCUAACCCGGCCCCGGCUAUGUUUCUGGUAUCCACCACGUUGAUGGGUCUGUGACUGAAGCUGAGAAACUAAUUAGGAUAUUUCUGACAACAAUGCGGCGAAGCUAAAUUGGUCCCUCGCUAUAUGUGACAGCUCAUGGAUGGAUGGUGUGUAUUAGCAGCAGAGGGGGAACAGCAGUGGUUCGGACCCGAGCUUCUACGCACACAGCUGACAUGUGUGGACCAGGCAGCGGUGGAGGAGCUAAUACAAGUGGUGGGCCUUUCUAUCGCCUUAUUGAUCCUGUAUCACAGAGACACGACAAGGAAAAGUCAUCAAAUAACCAAAGCUCCAUCAGCCACCGCUCACAUCGACAGCACACACCAGAUAUCCAUCAGGACCGGGAAGCCCCGGGGUCAGGCCGAGUUGAAUCUCAUGUCAGAAUUGGCCCCGCGUUGACCUGCGCCUGACUGGCCUCCCAGCAAAAAGCCCCUGUGAAGAGGGAAGCGAGGGCUCCGCUGAUCCGAAGGUGAAAAACACCCUCCUCCUCCUCCUCCACCUCCUCCUCCUCUCCCCCGGCGGAACAUCUGUCUCCGUGGCGUCGGCGGCAGCACCGACUCUGACACCUCCAGAUGGAGCAC